This 500-nucleotide ribosomal RNA is filed under the name uncultured bacterium. RNAcentral's name for it is "partial 16S ribosomal RNA". It matches the Rfam family "Bacterial small subunit ribosomal RNA", at positions 30 to 523 of the family's 1533-position model. The record is from RNAcentral.
AUUGAACGCUGGCGGAAUGCUUUACACAUGCAAGUCGAACGGCAGCACGGACUUCGGUCUGGUGGCGAGUGGCGAACGGGUGAGUAAUGUAUCGGACCGUGCCCAGACGUGGGGGAUAACGUAGUGAACUUUACGCUAAUACCGCAUACGAUCUCUGGAUGAAGGCGGGGGAUCGCCAGACCUCGCGCCAUUGGACCGGCCGUUAUCAGAUUAGGUAGUUGGUGGGGUAAAGGCCCACCAAGCCAACGAUCUGUAGCUGGUCUGAGAGGACGACCAGCCACACUGGAACUGAGACACGGUCCAGACUCCUACGGGAGGCAGCAGUGGGGAAUUUUGGACAAUGGGCGAAAGCCUGAUCCAGCCAUUCCGCGUGCAGGAUGAAGGCCCUCGGGUUGUAAACUGCUUUUGUACAGAACGAAAAGGUUUCUACUAAUACUAGGAGCUCAUGACGGUACUGUAAGAAUAAGCACCGGCUAACUACGUGCCAGCAGCCGCCGUAA